RNAcentral lists this ribosomal RNA (484 nucleotides) under uncultured bacterium. RNAcentral describes it as "partial 16S ribosomal RNA". It matches the Rfam family "Bacterial small subunit ribosomal RNA", at positions 29 to 507 of the family's 1533-position model. The record is from RNAcentral.
AUUGAACGCUGGCGGCAGGCCUAACACAUGCAAGUCGAGCGGAUGAAGGGAGCUUGCUCCUGGAUUCAGCGGCGGACGGGUGAGUAAUGCCUAGGAAUCUGCCUGGUAGUGGGGGAUAACGUCCGGAAACGGGCGCUAAUACCGCAUACGUCCUGAGGGAGAAAGUGGGGGAUCUUCGGACCUCACGCUAUCAGAUGAGCCUAGGUCGGAUUAGCUAGUUGGUGGGGUAAAGGCCUACCAAGGCGACGAUCCGUAACUGGUCUGAGAGGGUGAUCAGUCAAAAUGGGAACUGGAAACGGGCCAGAACCCCUAGGGGGGCAAGCGGGGGGAAAAUUGGGAAAUGGGGGGAAGCCUGAUCCCACCCUACCGCGGGGUUGGAAAAAGGCUUUGGGUUUUAAAAGCCUUUUAAGUGGGGAGAAAGGGAGGAAGUUAAAACCCUGGUGUUUUGACGGUACCCAAAAAAAAAACCACGGCUAAAUUCGGG